UUGAAUAUUCCUUAAAGGUCCACAUGUUAAAUGAUCGGCCUGCAGGAUGCUUCUGUCAGGAGACGUUGGAGCCUUUAUGAAGUAGUUCCUCAGGCCACUGGAGAAAUGCUGACAGAGGGAGCUGUGGGCCUUUUCCCCUCUUCACUGUCUGCUUUCUUCAUAAAAGUGAGUGAGUCCUAACACAGGCGGUGACUGCUGAUCGUUAAGCCUUCCAUCAUGUGUCGCUGUCUUUCUGAUGUCCUCAAAUGCAACCCGGUAGAUUUACAAAGAGAAAGACAGAGAAUAAAGAACAACACUGGACUUUCAUGAGUGAGUUGAGGAGUGGUGCACAUCCAUUUUUUUCAUAAGCCAACAUCUAAAUAUAGGUUCACAUUUUAACUGAAAAGAGAGGCUAAAAUGUAAGACACUGUAUGCUGUGUAUUCUGGGUAUAGAAGUGGAAUGGGCAACUUUCAAUAAAGGUUUAGCACAACA
Long non-coding RNA from Chinchilla lanigera (long-tailed chinchilla), 472 nucleotides. RefSeq lists it as uncharacterized. The transcript is spliced from 2 exons. NCBI's taxonomy places the organism in Eukaryota, Metazoa, Chordata, Mammalia, Rodentia, Chinchillidae. The record is from RefSeq and is a predicted model, not a curated record.